Molecule: ribosomal RNA, 427 nt
Filed under: uncultured bacterium
Lineage: Bacteria
Description: partial 16S ribosomal RNA
Rfam family: Bacterial small subunit ribosomal RNA
Source: RNAcentral
UGGGGAAUAUUGCACAAUGGGCGCAAGCCUGAUGCAGCCAUGCCGCGUGUAUGAAGAAGGCCUUCGGGUUGUAAAGUACUUUCAGCGGGGAGGAAGGGAGUAAAGUUAAUACCUUUGCUCAUUGACGUUACCCGCAGAAGAAGCACCGGCUAACUCCGUGCCAGCAGCCGCGGUAAUACGGAGGGUGCAAGCGUUAAUCGGAAUUACUGGGCGUAAAGCGCACGCAGGCGGUUUGUUAAGUCAGAUGUGAAACCCCCGGGCUCAACCUGGGAACUGCAUCUGAUACUGGCAAGCUUGAGUCUCGUAGAGGGGGGUAGAAUUCCAGGUGUAGCGGUGAAAUGCGUAGAGAUCUGGAGGAAUACCGGUGGCGAAGGCGGCCCCCUGGACGAAGACUGACGCUCAGGUGCGAAAGCGUGGGGAGCAAACA